CUUGAGGCAGUCUAAAUAGGCAAAUCCGUUUGGACAAUGCUAGGAUGUGAUGGGGAAGCCCUUCGGGGCGAAGUAGCUGAUUUCACACUGUCAAGAAAAGCUUCUAUCGAGUUUAAAGGCGCCCGUACCGUAAACCGACACAGGUGGGUGAGGAGAGUAUCCUAAGGCCAGCGAGAGAACUAUUGUUAAGGAACUCGGCAAAAUGACCCCGUAACUUAGGGAGAAGGGGUGCCUGUCUAUGACAGGCCGCAGAGAAUAGGCCCAGGCGACUGUUUACCAAAAACACAGGUUUCUGCUAAGUCGCAAGACGAUGUAUAGGAGCUGACGCCUGCCCGGUGCUGGAAGGUUAAGGGGAUCUGUUAGAGCAAUCGAAGCAGUGAACUUAAGCCCCAGUAAACGGCGGCCGUAACAAUAACGGUCCUAAGGUAGCGAAAUUCCUUGUCGGGUAAGUUCCGACCCGCACGAAAGGCGUAACGAUUUGGGCACUGUCUCAACAAUAGACUCGGUGAAAUUGUAAUCCCGGUGAAGAUGCCGGGUACCUGCGACAGGACGGAAAGACCCCAUGGAGCUUUACUGUAGCUUGACGUUGGGUCUUGGUACUACAUGUACAGGAUAGGUGGGAGACUAUGAAGCAUGGACGCCAGUCUGUGUGGAGUCAUCCUUGGGAUACCACCCUUGUAGUACUGGGAUCCUAACCAUAGGCCUUGAAUCAGGUCUUGGAACACCGUCAGGUGGGCAGUUUGACUGGGGCGGUCGCCUCCUAAAAAAGUAACGGAGGCGCUCAAAGUUUCCUCAGCACGGUCGGAAAUCGUGCGAAGAGUGUAAAGGCAAAAGGAAGCUUGAUUGCAAGACAUACAGGUCGAGCAAGGACGAAAGUCGGACUUAGUGAUCCGGUGGUACCGCAUGGAAGGGCCAUCGCUCAACGGAUAAAAGCUACCCUGGGGAUAACAGGCUUAUCUCCCCCAAGAGUCCACAUCGACGGGGAGGUUUGGCACCUCGAUGUCGGCUCAUCACACCCUGGGGCUGUAGUAGGUCCCAAGGGUUGGGCUGUUCGCCCAUUAAAGUGGUACGCGAGCUGGGUUCAGAACGUCGUGAGACAGUUCGGUCCCUAUCCGUCGCAGGCGUAGGAAAUUUGAGAAGACCUGUCCUUAGUACGAGAGGACCGGGAUGGACGUACCUCUGGUGUACCAGUUGUUCUGCCAAGGGCAUGGCUGGGUAGCUAUGUACGGAAUGGAUAAGCGCUGAAAGCAUCUAAGCGCGAAGCCAACUUCAAGAUAAGAUUUCCCACCGUAAGGGUAAGACCCCAGGAAGACUACCUGGUUGA
This 1324-nucleotide ribosomal RNA is filed under the name metagenome. Its description in RNAcentral is "bacterial LSU rRNA". It matches the Rfam family "Bacterial large subunit ribosomal RNA", at positions 1518 to 2856 of the family's 2925-position model. The record is from RNAcentral.